RNAcentral lists this ribosomal RNA (206 nucleotides) under uncultured bacterium. Its description in RNAcentral is "partial 16S ribosomal RNA". It matches the Rfam family "Bacterial small subunit ribosomal RNA", at positions 568 to 774 of the family's 1533-position model. The record is from RNAcentral.
CGCGUAGGCGGCCUGCUAAGUCUGGAGUGAAAGUCCUGCUUUCAAGGUGGGAAUUGCUUUGGAUACUGGUGGGCUGGAGUGCAGGAGAGGAAAGCGGAAUUACCGGUGUAGCGGUGAAAUGCGUAGAGAUCGGUAGGAACACUAGUGGCGAAGGCGGCUUUCUGGACUGAAACUGACGCUGAGGCGCGAAAGCGUGGGAGCAAACA